Molecule: long non-coding RNA, 564 nt
Organism: Vicia villosa (hairy vetch)
Lineage: Eukaryota; Viridiplantae; Streptophyta; Magnoliopsida; Fabales; Fabaceae
Exons: 4
Source: RefSeq, a predicted model, not a curated record
UUGUGCUGCCGAUUCUAGUGUCGUUCUGUUGCGAGUGCAUCGACAGUCGUAUUGCUCUGAGUGUGUCGUCGGUCGUCGUGUAUCUGUGAGUGGGUCGAUUGCGGUGUUGCUAUCUUCUUUUUCGUUUGUCUUGGUUAUUGGAUGUCAAAGGUGUAACAAAGAUUAUUGUGUUGUUGGCGAUGAAGAGUCAAAUUUUAGCCGGUGGAAGUGGCUUGGGAACUUUUAACAGUGGCCUUAAAGGAGGAGUACAAAUUGUUAAGACUGAAUAGGUUGAAGACAUAUCGGUCCUAUCUCCAGUCCUAUAAUCCUUAACAGAGGUUAACUUGCAAAGUUUUAUGAAAUUGGAAUAAUGGAUCUCAAGAACCAAGUGGAUCGCCAGAAAGUGUUUGUACCACCUUCGAAGCAUUUAACCAACGCUACAUGGCUGUGAUGAGAAUGACAUAGAUGAUGAACUUCAAGAGGACUACAUAGGUGUUGAAUCUCAAGAGGACGACAUAGAUGAUGAUGAGGAUGAUGGAUUGGAGAUGAUGCUGAAUUCGAGAAACUUAAAUGAGUUGGAUGAUG